Bactrocera oleae (olive fruit fly) is the source of this 415-nucleotide long non-coding RNA. RefSeq lists it as uncharacterized. NCBI's taxonomy places the organism in Eukaryota, Metazoa, Arthropoda, Insecta, Diptera, Tephritidae. The record is from RefSeq and is a predicted model, not a curated record.
GUGGCGGGCAUAUACGAUAACUUACUAGCAAGCAGUAAAAUUUCACAGCAAAAACAACAAGAUUUAUGUAAUUAACAUUAAAUUUAUUUUCGUUUUUACACUCACCUUGACGCGUCGUGACUCUUCUCUCCGCUUCCAUGGCCGCUGCAAUACCAAAUAUACCGGCAACGUGAUUAUGUCACACACAAAAGCGAGCACUUUGAUAGCACCGAUUGCGCUCUGCACCCAGAAGCUUUCCAUUCUGACAAUUAGAUACAAAAUGAAAGUGCAUGCCAUUACUCAAAUGUCGAAAAAUUAUAAAUUAAAGUUUUUUGGUGCAUAUAAAAAUAUCAGUUUUUUGUAAUUGUAAAUCAAAUGAAGUCACAUGUCAAACGUCGGCACAAUAAAUCACGCCACUAAUCAGCACUGAUCACUA